GACAUUUCUUUCAGGUUGUGGAGCAUAGUUAUUCGUGUGCACUUGAGAGAUCAUUCUUGCACCAUGGUCGUAUGUAUGUCUCGGCAUGGCACAUAUGUUUCCAUUCUAAUGUGUUCUCCAAACAAAUUAAGGUGGUAGUUCCAUUUGAGAAUAUAGAUGAGAUUCGUAAGAGUCGGCAUGCAUUAAUUAAUCCUGCAAUAACAAUCAUUCUUCGGACGGGUGUGGGUGGGCAUGGUGUACCUCCAUUAGGGAGCUAUGAUGGU
Long non-coding RNA from Hibiscus syriacus, 263 nucleotides. RefSeq lists it as uncharacterized. NCBI's taxonomy places the organism in Eukaryota, Viridiplantae, Streptophyta, Magnoliopsida, Malvales, Malvaceae. The transcript has 3 exons. The record is from RefSeq and is a predicted model, not a curated record.